GUGGUAAUGCCGGAUGCUCCGACUCCUCGCAUGGGGUGUCGGGAAAGAUUUCAUCGGUAUGGGAUGGGGUCGCGUCCUAUCAGGUAGUCGGCGGGGUAACGGCCCACCGAGCCUACGACGGGUAGCCGGCCUGAGAGGGCGACCGGCCACAUUGGGACUGAGAUACGGCCCAGACUCCUACGGGAGGCAGCAGUGGGGAAUAUUGCACAAUGGGCGCAAGCCUGAUGCAGCGACGCCGCGUGCGGGAUGACGGCCUUCGGGUUGUAAACCGCUUUUGAUCGGGAGCAAGCCUUCGGGUGAGUGUACCUUUCGAAUAAGCACCGGCUAACUACGUGCCAGCAGCCGCGGUAAUACGUAGGGUGCAAGCGUUAUCCGGAAUUAUUGGGCGUAAAGGGCUCGUAGGCGGUUCGUCGCGUCCGGUGUGAAAGUCCAUCGCUUAACGGUGGAUCUGCGCCGGGUACGGGCGGGCUGGAGUGCGGUAGGGGAGACUGGAAUUCCCGGUGUAACGGUGGAAUGUGUAGAUAUCGAAGAGAGA
Molecule: ribosomal RNA, 535 nt
Filed under: Bifidobacterium pseudocatenulatum
Lineage: Bacteria; Bacillati; Actinomycetota; Actinomycetes; Bifidobacteriales; Bifidobacteriaceae
Description: bacterial SSU rRNA
Rfam family: Bacterial small subunit ribosomal RNA
Source: RNAcentral